Molecule: ribosomal RNA, 253 nt
Filed under: uncultured bacterium
Lineage: Bacteria
Description: partial 16S ribosomal RNA
Rfam family: Bacterial small subunit ribosomal RNA
Source: RNAcentral
UACAGAGGUCUCAAGCGUUGUUCGGAUUCAUUGGGCGUAAAGGGUGCGUAGGUGGCUCGCUAAGUCAGACGUGAAAUCCCUCAGCUUAACUGGGGAACUGCGUCUGAGACUGGCGAGCUUGAGUGCAGGAGAGGAACGCGGAAUUCCAGGUGUAGCGGUGAAAUGCGUAGAUAUCUGGAGGAACACCGGUGGCGAAGGCGGCGUUCUGGACUGCAACUGACACUGAGAAACGAAAGCCAGGGGAGCAAACGGG